AUGAGUGCCUGCUUCUCUGACAUGAUUAAGGAUCAUUCCCUAGAUUUCCUUUGUCUUCAAGAGACUAUGAAAAAAAAGUUUCCUCCUAAGAAUCUCAGGAAAAUAGACCCCGCGGCUCAAUUUGACUGGAAUUGGAUUCCAUCAAUUGGCUAAGCAGGGGGGGUCCUCUGUGGUAUUAAGAAGGAGACCCUAGAAGUUAUAUCUUGGAUUCCUGGUAGGUUUUGUUUGCAAGCCAACCUAUAUGAUGUUAACCGUAAGAUUGUAUGGGCUCUCAUUACUGUAUAUGGAGCAGCCCAUGAUGACAGUAAGGAUGACUUGCUGGUAGAAUUAGCCGCGAUGUGUGCUCACACACAUGUCCCAUACANNNNNNNNNNNNNNNNNNNNAUCCUCAGAGAGGCCUGUGAUAAAAAUAAAACCUUGAAUCGAUCCCCAUAUGUGGAUAAAUUCAAUUCCAUCAUAAACUCCUUGAACCUUCGAGAAAUUUAUAUGGGGGGUGGCAAAUAUACGUGGACUAAUAACCAAAAACACCCUACCCUGGAAAAGCUCGACAGAGUCCUGAUGAGCUAUGAAUGGGAGGAUCUAUUCCCUUUGGUCACGGUUCGUAAGCUGGUGAGGGAUGUUUCAGACCACAAUCCACUUCUUUUGUCCUCGGGAGAGGAGAGACAAAAAAAGUCUCAUCAGCACGAGUUCAGAUUCGAGCUUAGCUGGCUGUGUGACGAUUUUUUUUACCCCAUUGCCAAGGAGAUUUGGGAGCAACCUGUCCGAACUGACGAUCCUAUUGAUAUUCUUAAUAUCAAACUGAAACGUCUCAAAAAAUACUUUAAAGGGUGGGGCUCGAAUAUUUUUGGCCAUGCCAGGAAGAGAAAAAAAGAAAUAAAGAGGGAGCUAGAAGAGAUAGAGAGUAAAGAAGAGGAAGGGCCUCUCGAACCUGAUUUAUAUGAGAGGAAAACUACACUGCAAAUAGAACUCAGCGAGAUUCUUUCCAAGGAAGAGCUGUAUUGGCUACAACAAUCGAAUGAACGUUGUCUCUUAAAAGGGGAUCGUAACACAACCUUUUACCAUAGAGUGGCUAAUGGUAAAAAAAAGAAAAAAUAUGAUCCCGUCCCUUACGGAUGGGGAUGUAGUGAUCGAGGGGACCACUAA
RNAcentral lists this ribosomal RNA (1143 nucleotides) under Triticum aestivum (bread wheat). RNAcentral describes it as "partial small subunit ribosomal RNA". Lineage: Eukaryota; Viridiplantae; Streptophyta; Magnoliopsida; Poales; Poaceae. The record is from RNAcentral.